CUGGACAGUCUGAGCUGUAUAUCUCUCUGGACAGACUGAGCUGUAUAUCUCUCUGGACAGACUGAGCUGUAUAUCUCUCUCUGGACAGACUGAGCUGUAUAUCUCUCUCUGGACAGACUGAGCUGUAUAUCUCUCUGGACAGACUGAGCUGUAUAUCUCUCUGGACAGACUGAGCUGUAUAUCUCUCUGGACAGACUGAGCUCUGUAUAUCUCUCUCUCUCAGACAGAUUCCUUUUCAAUCCUUCAAAUACAUCAAAUAACAUUCUGAUUCAUUUGGCCUUUUUGUGUGAGUCCCAUUUCGCUGUAAAUCUGUGGGUAAAUCUUACAACAGGUUUACAUUGUAACGUGUGAUGCUGCAUUGUGUAUUCACAUCUGAUGCUUUAUUCAUUAGGUAUUCAUCAGUAGAAAGCAAUGAGUAUUUAAAUCACAGUACAGACAGUAGUUUCACACACUAACAGAGACUAACAGAGUGUCUGGCAGGUUAGAGCCUGGGGUUAGGGGUCAGGGGUUAGAGGAUAGGGGGUUAGAGGUUAGAGAAUAGGGGUUAGGGGUUAGAGGUUAGGGAAUAGGGGUUAGCGGUUAGGGGUUAGGGGUUAGGGGUCAGAGGAUAGGGGUUAGAGGUUAGGGAAUAGGGGUUAGGGGUUAGAGGUUAGGGGUUAGAGGUUAGGGAAUAGGGGUUAGGGGUUAGAGGUUAGGGAAUAGGGGUUAGAGGUUAGGGGUUAGGGGUCAGAGGAUAGCGGUUAGAGUCAGGCAGUAACAGGUGAUAGCAGCAGCAGCUAGAGAGUAGUCAAGGCCCGUGAUGCUGCAAAGCGUUUCAAUGAGACUCCGUCAUCGCCAACCAAUCAGGUCCUCAGCCUGCUGCGUCUGUCUGCGUGGGGGGAGGGGCCAAAGACUGUCCAGUUAAAGGCCGUCUGUCAGACCAAUCACCUCAAGGCUUCAGCCUCCAUGAAAAAUCACAGGGAUCACAGCAAAACAGCAAUAAGAGCAUCACACGUGUUAUAACAGACGUUACAAGGUGUUAUAACAGAUGUUACAAUGUGUUAUAACAGACGUUACCAUGUUUUAUAACAGUGUUAUGGAUGUAUGAGAUGUUAAAACACAUUGUAACAGUGUUAUAGAUGUAUGAGAUGUUACAAUGUGUUAUAACAGAUGUUACAAUGUGUUAUAACAGAGUACAAUGUGUUAUAACAGUGUUAUAGAUGUAUGAAUGUUACAAUGUUUUAUAACAGAUGUUACAAUGUGUUAUGACAGUGUUAUAGAAGUAUGAGACGUUACAAUGUGUUAUAACAGUGUUAUAGAAGUAUGAGACGUUACAAGGUGUUAUAACAGGUGUUAUAACAGUGUUAUAGAUGUAUGAGGACCAUGUAUAUAAUAUAGGAUCAUGUUAACAGACUGCUCUACCUGAGAAAACCUUUUCCACACAGACACUCUUAACUUUCCCAUGGUCACAUCCCACCACAGACAGACAGGGGAUUCAGAACCACAGACAGACAGGGGAUUCAGAACCACAGACAGACAGGGGAUUCAGAACCACAGACAGACAGGGGAUUCAGAACCACAGACAUGUUAACAGACAGACAGGGGAUUCAGAACCACAGACAGACAGGGGAUUCAGAACCACAGACAUACAGGGGAUUCAGAACCACAGACAGACAGGGGAUUCAGAACCACAGACAUGUUAACAGACAGACAGGGGAUUCAGAACCACAGACAGACAGGGGAUUCAGAACCACAGACAGACAGGGGAUUCAGAACCACAGACAGACAGGGGAUUCAGAACCACAGACAGACAGGGGAUUCAGAACCACAGACAUGUUAACAGACAGACAGGGGAUUCAGAUCCACAGACAGACAGGGGAUUCAGAACCACAGACAGACAGGGGAUUCAGAACCACAGACAGACAGGGGAUUCAGAACCACAGACAGACAGGGGAUUCAGAACCACAGACAGACAGGGGAUUCAGAACCACAGACAUGUUAACAGACAGACAGGGGAUUCAGAACCACAGACAGACAGGGGAUUCAGAUCCACAGACAGACAGGGGAUUCAGAUCCACAGACAUGUUAACAGACAGACAGGGGAUUCAGAACCACAGACAUACAGGGGAUUCAGAACCACAGACAUGUUAACAGACAGACAGACGGGAUUCAGAACCACAGACAUGUUAACAGACAGACAGAGUGAUUCAGAACCACAGACAUGCUAACAGACAGACAGGGGAUUCAGAACCACAGACAUGUUAACA
This 2246-nucleotide long non-coding RNA is filed under the name Salmo salar (Atlantic salmon). RNAcentral describes it as "lncRNA (ENSSSAG00000120628.1)". Lineage: Eukaryota; Metazoa; Chordata; Actinopteri; Salmoniformes; Salmonidae. The record is from RNAcentral.